GAGCUAUUCAUCUCUCAUACUGAUGCUGUUUAAACUUUUUCUGUUCUGUCUCCCUAUCUAAUUCUCAUUCACCGCUCUGGUUUCUAUGUUUCCAUGCUUCAAACAAACAAACAAAAACACUGGAGCAAUCCAGUAACAGCAGGUUUCUCCUUGAGAAGUGGAGAGGAAGCCUAAUCUCAUCAGCUGCAUAUGAAAAUAUUUUGAGGAGAGAAAAUUGUAGUUUCAAGUGAGACACUCCAAGACGCUUGGCAGAGAUCUUAUUAAAGAUAAGGAGAAAAUAAAAUAUUAAGAAUCAUAAUAUUGAAUACCAAAUUUUC
RNAcentral lists this long non-coding RNA (317 nucleotides) under Gallus gallus (chicken). Lineage: Eukaryota; Metazoa; Chordata; Aves; Galliformes; Phasianidae. The record is from RNAcentral.